UACGAAGGGGACUAGCGUUGUUCGGAAUCACUGGGCGUAAAGCGCACGUAGGCGGAUGUGUCAGUCAGGGGUGAAAUCCCGGGGCUCAACCUCGGAACUGCCUUUGAUACAGCACGUCUCGAGUCCGGAAGAGGUGGGUGGAAUUCCUAGUGUAGAGGUGAAAUUCGUAGAUAUUAGGAAGAACACCGGUGGCGAAGGCGGCCCACUGGUCCGGUUCUGACGCUGAGGUGCGAAAGCGUGGGGAGCAAACAGG
RNAcentral lists this ribosomal RNA (253 nucleotides) under uncultured bacterium. RNAcentral's name for it is "partial 16S ribosomal RNA". It matches the Rfam family "Bacterial small subunit ribosomal RNA", at positions 524 to 776 of the family's 1533-position model. The record is from RNAcentral.